GUGGUGAUGAUUUGUUGUGACUGACUUGUGAUGUUCCAAUCAUUUGUCCUCUAAGAAGUGCUGAACUG
Molecule: small nucleolar RNA, 68 nt
Organism: Pecten maximus
Lineage: Eukaryota; Metazoa; Mollusca; Bivalvia; Pectinida; Pectinidae
Product: small nucleolar RNA SNORD61
Exons: 1
Source: RefSeq, a predicted model, not a curated record